This is a non-coding RNA of Nicotiana tabacum (common tobacco), 238 nucleotides long. The record is from RefSeq and is a predicted model, not a curated record. NCBI's taxonomy places the organism in Eukaryota, Viridiplantae, Streptophyta, Magnoliopsida, Solanales, Solanaceae.
AUCUCUUAUUUGUGUUCAAGAUUGGAUUAGAGAAGAGAAGAAUCCUAUUAGUGUUGAAGAAGACUUGAAGUAUCUUGAGGAACUCGAGCUUGAUAUGGAAAAUAAUGGAAGCACUACUAGCAUUGUUUGAUGUAUAGUUGCAACUUGCAUCUUGAGGGGUUCAAGUUCAAGUGCAAUCAUGCCCCGUGCUACUGCUCAAUGCUCCGAUAUUUGGGAAUAUUUUGUGGUGAAAGAAGAU